CAGUAGCCGCGGUAAUACGUAGGGUGCGAGCGUUAAUCGGAGUUACUGGGCGUAAAGCGUGCGCAGGCGGUUGUGUAAGACAGGUGUGAAAUCCCGGGGCUUAACCUGGGAACUGCGCUUGUGACUGCACAGCUAGAGUAUGGCAGAGGGGGGUGGAAUUCCACGUGUAGCAGUAAAAUGCGUAGAGAUGUGGAGGAACACCGAUGGCGAAGGCAGCCCCCUGGGCCAAUACUGACGCUCAUGCACGAAAGCGUGGGGAGCGAACAAGAUUAGAUACCCGCGUAGUCCCUGUCUCUUAUAC
RNAcentral lists this ribosomal RNA (301 nucleotides) under uncultured bacterium. RNAcentral's name for it is "partial 16S ribosomal RNA". It matches the Rfam family "Bacterial small subunit ribosomal RNA", at positions 509 to 807 of the family's 1533-position model. The record is from RNAcentral.